UUGCCAGUGCUGAAAUCAGUUAAUAAACACGCAAACUUUGGGGACUGAAUGGCAUUUUUAAUGCCUUGCUGUUAAUUCUGCAAUUCUGAGGCUC
Small nucleolar RNA from Lupinus angustifolius (narrow-leaved blue lupine), 94 nucleotides. It matches the Rfam family "Small nucleolar RNA SNORD96 family". From Rfam's summary of the family: snoRNA Z37 is a member of the C/D class of snoRNA which contain the C (UGAUGA) and D (CUGA) box motifs. Z37 acts as a methylation guide for 5.8S ribosomal RNA. The record is from Rfam. NCBI's taxonomy places the organism in Eukaryota, Viridiplantae, Streptophyta, Magnoliopsida, Fabales, Fabaceae.